AAAUUUUUUACUUUGUGUGUUUGGUCUUCAAAGGUUCAUUUAAAAAUUCUUCAUAUUGGGUGUUGUAAUAAUAGCUGGUUGCUUUCUUACAGAGCUAUAAAAAAAAUUUCCUAUGUUUUGAUGGAGAAAUGCCAUCUAAGCAGGUGUUGUUGAAGGCAUUCCUGUCCAGGAAGGAAGAAGGAGAAAAGAAGACAAGAAGGAUAAGCUUGUGCAGCUGGUGCCAUGUUAGGCAGACUGGAAUCAGCCCUGAUAUGCCCCAGCAGGCAUCUGGAGCCCAUUAGUGCUGCAUCAGGUGGACAAGCACAGAAUGGAAAUACAAGUUCACAAGGUCUGAGGCCAGGAAAUAAAUACGCACAGCAUUAGUAUGACA
RNAcentral lists this long non-coding RNA (370 nucleotides) under Phascolarctos cinereus (koala). RNAcentral's name for it is "lncRNA (ENSPCIG00000001997.2)". Lineage: Eukaryota; Metazoa; Chordata; Mammalia; Diprotodontia; Phascolarctidae. The record is from RNAcentral.